This 253-nucleotide ribosomal RNA is filed under the name uncultured bacterium. Its description in RNAcentral is "partial 16S ribosomal RNA". It matches the Rfam family "Bacterial small subunit ribosomal RNA", at positions 524 to 776 of the family's 1533-position model. The record is from RNAcentral.
UACGUAGGGUGCGAGCGUUAAUCGGAAUUACUGGGCGUAAAGCGUGCGCAGGCGGUUUUGUAAGCCAGAUGGGAAAUCCCCGGGCUUAACCUGGGAAUGGCAUUUGGGACUGCAAGGCUGGAGUGUGGCAGAGGAGACUGGAAUUCCCGGUGUAGCAGUGAAAUGCGUAGAUAUCAGGAGGAACACCAAUGGCGAAGGCAGAUCUCUGGGCCGUAACUGACGCUGGGGAGCGAAAGCAUGGGGAGCGAACAGG